RNAcentral lists this ribosomal RNA (425 nucleotides) under uncultured bacterium. Its description in RNAcentral is "partial 16S ribosomal RNA". It matches the Rfam family "Bacterial small subunit ribosomal RNA", at positions 354 to 796 of the family's 1533-position model. The record is from RNAcentral.
GUGGGGAAUCUUGCGCAAUGGGCGAAAGCCUGACGCAGCCAUGCCGCGUGAAUGAUGAAGGUCUUAGGAUUGUAAAAUUCUUUCACCGGGGACGAUAAUGACGGUACCCGGAGAAGAAGCCCCGGCUAACUUCGUGCCAGCAGCCGCGGUAAUACGAAGGGGGCUAGCGUUGCUCGGAAUUACUGGGCGUAAAGGGCGCGUAGGCGGACAGUUUAGUCAGAGGUGAAAGCCCAGGGCUCAACCUUGGAAUUGCCUUUGAUACUGGCUGUCUUGAGUACGGGAGAGGUGAGUGGAACUCCGAGUGUAGAGGUGAAAUUCGUAGAUAUUCGGAAGAACACCAGUGGCGAAGGCGACUCACUGGCCCGUUACUGACGCUGAGGCGCGAAAGCGUGGGGAGCAAACAGGAUUAGAUACCUCAGUAGUCC